RNAcentral lists this ribosomal RNA (402 nucleotides) under uncultured bacterium. RNAcentral's name for it is "bacterial SSU rRNA". It matches the Rfam family "Bacterial small subunit ribosomal RNA", at positions 355 to 746 of the family's 1533-position model. The record is from RNAcentral.
UGGGGAAUAUUGCGCAAUGGGGGAAACCCUGACGCAGCGACGCCGUGUGAGGGAAGAAGGCUUUCGGGUCGUAAACCUCUGUNCGGGAAGGAAGAACCCCCUGGGUCCCAAUAGGGCUCGAGGCUNGACGGUACUUCCAAAGGAAGCACCGGCUAACUCCGUGCCAGCAGCCGCGGUAAUACGGAGGGUGCAAGCGUUAAUCGGAAUCACUGGGCGUAAAGCGCGCGUAGGCGGCCUUUUAAGUCGGACGUGAAAGCCCUCGGCUCAACCGGGGAAUUGCGUUCGAUACUGGGAGGCUUGAGUCCUGGAGAGGGUGGCGGAAUUCCGGGUGUAGGAGUGAAAUCCGUAGAUAUCCGGAGGAACACCGGUGGCGAAGGCGGCCACCUGGACAGGUACUGACGC